RNAcentral lists this ribosomal RNA (264 nucleotides) under uncultured crenarchaeote. RNAcentral describes it as "partial 16S ribosomal RNA". It matches the Rfam family "Archaeal small subunit ribosomal RNA", at positions 513 to 776 of the family's 1478-position model. The record is from RNAcentral. Lineage: Archaea; Thermoproteati; Thermoproteota.
CUAAGCNUCCGUANCNUGCUAGAUAAGUCCUCUGUUAAAUCCCCGANUCAAUCGUUGGAUUGCGGGGGAUACUGNUUGGCUAGGGGACGGGAGAGGUCNACGGUAUUUCCGGGGUAGGGGUGAAAUCCUAUAAUCCCGGGAGGACCACCAGUGGCGAAGGCUGUCGACUAGAACGCGCCCGACGGUGAGGGANGAAAGCUGGGGGAGCNAACCGGAUUAGAUACCCGGGUAGUCCCNGCUGUAAACGAUGCNNGCUAGGUGUUG